AGAUUGAACGCUGGCGGCAUGCCUUACACAUGCAAGUCGAACGGCAGCACGGGAGCAAUCCUGGUGGCGAGUGGCGAACGGGUGAGUAAUAUAUCGGAACGUGCCCAGUCGUGGGGGAUAACGCAGCGAAAGCUGUGCUAAUACCGCAUACGAUCUAUGGAUGGAAAGCGGGGGAUCGCAAGACCUCGCGCGAUUGGGAGCGGCCGAUAUCAGAUUAGCUAGUUGGUAGGGGUAAAAGCCUACAAGGCGACGAUCUGUAGCUGGUCUGAGAGGACGACCAGCCACACGUGGAACUGAGACACGGUCCAGACUCCGUA
Molecule: ribosomal RNA, 317 nt
Filed under: uncultured soil bacterium
Lineage: Bacteria
Description: bacterial SSU rRNA
Rfam family: Bacterial small subunit ribosomal RNA
Source: RNAcentral